GCAGUUUAAGCGCUUAUUGGUGGGACGAAGGCAGACUCUUCCAUUAGUGAUCAAGAACAAUGGCAAUGUGCCUGCACAAGUUAGCAUUGUACUACAGUGUCACCUGGACGUUUUCACUCUAAAAGCUGCUCCUGGCACUGUUUGCAGACUGGCCUCCUCACAAAUAGAAUGCAAUCCCAGAGAAGAGACACAACUAGUACAUGUAGCCUCUCUGAUCCUCAUGGCUGGACAACAAGCAGAAUUCCAGGUCGGGUUUCAUCCAAAGGUGGCUCAGAAGUUUGAGGCCUGCUUGAAGUUAAUGGUAAAGGAUAACCAGUAUGAUCAGACAGUGGUGCAGCUUGUGGGUGAGGGUUACCAUGACAUCAUCAUCCUGGACAACAUUGGCAGCAAAGUUCAGCAGGACAGCAUUGAAAGUAUGUCUGACCUUCUGAAUUUUGGAGACUGUCACGUGGGCCGCA
This 458-nucleotide long non-coding RNA is filed under the name Sinocyclocheilus anshuiensis. Its description in RNAcentral is "lncRNA (ENSSANG00000014518.1)". Lineage: Eukaryota; Metazoa; Chordata; Actinopteri; Cypriniformes; Cyprinidae. The record is from RNAcentral.